AUACUUACCUGGCAGGGGAGAUACCAUGAUCACGAAGGUGGUUCUCCGAGGGCGAGACUUGGCCAUUGCACUUUAGGCUUCGUUGACCCUUCCGAAUUCUCCAAAUGUGAGAAUCUCGACUGCAAAAUUUAUGGUAGUGGGGGACUGCGUUCGCGCUCUCCCCUG
Small nuclear RNA from Pimephales promelas (fathead minnow), 165 nucleotides. RefSeq annotates it as U1 spliceosomal RNA. Lineage: Eukaryota; Metazoa; Chordata; Actinopteri; Cypriniformes; Leuciscidae. The record is from RefSeq and is a predicted model, not a curated record.